RNAcentral lists this transfer RNA (76 nucleotides) under Monodelphis domestica (gray short-tailed opossum). It matches the Rfam family "tRNA". Rfam says of the family: Transfer RNA (tRNA) molecules are approximately 80 nucleotides in length. Their secondary structure includes four short double-helical elements and three loops (D, anti-codon, and T loops). Lineage: Eukaryota; Metazoa; Chordata; Mammalia; Didelphimorphia; Didelphidae. The record is from Rfam by way of RNAcentral.
GCUUGAGUGGCUCAGUGGGACAGAGAGCUGGGCCUCAAGACCCAGAGGUUGUAGGUUCGAAUCCUGACCCCAGGCU